RNAcentral lists this ribosomal RNA (344 nucleotides) under uncultured Staphylococcus SE2. Its description in RNAcentral is "bacterial SSU rRNA". It matches the Rfam family "Bacterial small subunit ribosomal RNA", at positions 23 to 356 of the family's 1533-position model. The record is from RNAcentral. Lineage: Bacteria; Bacillati; Bacillota; Bacilli; Caryophanales; Staphylococcaceae.
CUCAGGAUGAACGCUGGCGGCGUGCCUAAUACAUGCAAGUCGAGCGAACAGACGAGGAGCUUGCUCCUCUGACGUUAGCGGCGGACGGGUGAGUAACACGUGGAUAACCUACCUAUAAGACUGGGAUAACUUCGGGAAACCGGAGCUAAUACCGGAUAAUAUAUUGAACCGCAUGGUUCAAUAGUGAAAGACGGUUUUGCUGUCACUUAUAGAUGGAUCCGCGCCGCAUUAGCUAGUUGGUAAGGUAACGGCUUACCAAGGCAACGAUGCGUAGCCGACCUGAGAGGGUGAUCGGCCACACUGGAACUGAGACACGGUCCAGACUCCUACGGGAGGCAGCAGUA